Molecule: long non-coding RNA, 1166 nt
Organism: Toxotes jaculatrix (banded archerfish)
Lineage: Eukaryota; Metazoa; Chordata; Actinopteri; Toxotidae
Exons: 2
Source: RefSeq, a predicted model, not a curated record
CUUGUGCAGAGUCCAGACUUUGCUCUGCAGACUCUGAGAUGGAAGUCGUGGUCUUUCUGAAGGAAAGAAUGAAGAGGACUGUGUGUGUGUGUGUGUGUGUGUGUGUGUGUGUGAGUGAGUGUGAGUGUGAGUGAGUGUGAGGGUGACGGUGAGUGUGUGUGAGGGUGAGGGUGAGGGUGAGGGCGUGGGUGUGUGUGUGAGACCAGCUCCACUGUCAGACACGGUGCCAAGUCCAUCAUCCCUGUGUGAUCUGACAGAGGAUCAUCAGUGUAUCUGGACUGCUCUGCUGCUGCUCCACCUUCCUCCACUUCCUCCACCCUCCACCUUCCUCCACCUCUUCCACCUCCUCCACCCUCCUCCACCUCCUCCACCUCUUCCACCUCCUCCACCUGGGCUUUAUUGUAUCUUUUUUCUACAUUCAGAUAUGAACUAUAAUUCUGUGUAUAACAACAUAACUGUAGAUUUGAAGUUCAUUAUCCAUUAUCAAAAUCUGGAUCAGUAGCUCUUCAUCAUGCAAUCAUCACAAUCAUCACUGUUUUAUGAUUAAUCCUGAUAAUGAGCAGGUUUUAUUAAUGGACCUCCUGCAGUGUUAACAUGUAGUUACCUCUCACUACAUUAAUGCAGUUUGUGAUAUAUUGUGUUUAAGUUUCCAUGUAUUAUUUUCCACUGGUCUGUGUUUCAGUGUAUAUAACCACACACAGAUGUUAGAGGAUUUAUAUUACAAUCUUAUUCUGCUUCAUGCGUUAAAAACAAAAAGAAACAGAGUGAAACAUAUUUACACAGUGAAAUCAGUUCUCUGCCUCCCACUGCAGCUCAGCACCAGCUUCAGCCCACAGAUGGUGCUGUAGUAUAACAUAUCAGACUGGGAGUCAGGAAGCAGGACAUCCCAGUGACAAAUGGUUGGCUCCCUGUGUGCCAGUAAACUGCUCUCUGAGCCUGUGAACAGAAACAUCUGAAUUUCUGAGUCUUUUCUAAGAAACGUCUCAUUGUUUCUACGUCUCAUUUAUUUUUCUGCUUCAGUGCAGCCACAGAGCAUCCAAACACCUAAAAACACGAGUGAUUAAAGCCUAAAAUGAAAAGACGAGCAGCUCCUCUGAAUAUGCAAAAAAAAAAAAACUUAAAAAACUUUCAGCAGCAUCUUAUAUAACCAGCAUUUAUACUCCUCA